AGUGAACGCUGGCGGCAGGCCUAACACAUGCAAGUCGAACGGAAGGACAGUAAGAGCUUGCUCUUACGGGUGGCGAGUGGCGGACGGGUGAGGAAUACAUCGGAAUCUACUUUUUCGGGGGGGAUAACGUAGGGAAACUUACGCUAAUACCGCAUACGACCUACGGGGGAAAGCAGGGGAUAUUCGGAGCUUGCGGGAAUGAAUGAGCCGAUGUCGGAUUGGCUGGUUGGCGGGGUAAAGGCCCACCAAGGCGACGAUCCGUAGCGAGUCUGAGAGGGGGGUGAGCGCCAGGGGAGCUGAGACACGGUCCUGACACUUAGGGAAGGCAGAGGUUGGUAAUGUUGGACACUGGGGGAAAUCCUGCUCCAGCGACACCGCGUGGGUGAAGAAGGCCUGCGGGUUGGAAAGCCCUUUUGUGGGGAAAAACAGGCUUCAGCUUAAUACCCCGCUGUUCGAACGGAACCGAUAAAAUAGGCACGGCCAACUACGUG
Molecule: ribosomal RNA, 491 nt
Filed under: uncultured bacterium
Lineage: Bacteria
Description: partial 16S ribosomal RNA
Rfam family: Bacterial small subunit ribosomal RNA
Source: RNAcentral